ACUCCUACGGGAGGCAGCAGUAGGGAAUCUUCCACAAUGGGCGCAAGCCUGAUGGAGCAACACCGCGUGAGUGAAGAAGGGUUUCGGGUUGUAAAGUACUUUCAGCAGUGAGGAAGGUGGAUAUGUUAAUAGCAUAUUCAUUUGACGUUAGCUGCAGAAGAAGCACCGGCUAACUCCGUGCCAGCAGCCGCGGUAAUACGGAGGGGUGCGAGCGUUAAUCGGAAUUACUGGGGCGUAAAGCGCAUGCAGGUGGUUUGUUAAGUCAGAUGUGAAAGCCCGGGGGCUCAACCUCGGAAUUGCAUUUGAAACUGGCAAACUAGAGUACUGUAGAGGGGGUAGAAUUUCAGGUGUAGCGGUGAAAUGCGUAGAGAUCUGAAGGAAUACCGGUGGCGAAGGCGGCCCCCUGGACAGAUACUGACACUCAGAUGCGAAAGCGUGGGGAGCAAACAGGAUUAGAUACCCUGGUAGGAUAGCG
Molecule: ribosomal RNA, 475 nt
Filed under: uncultured bacterium
Lineage: Bacteria
Description: bacterial SSU rRNA
Rfam family: Bacterial small subunit ribosomal RNA
Source: RNAcentral